AACGAGCGCUGGCGGCAUGCCUAACACAUGCAAGUCGAACGAAGUCUUCGGACUUAGUGGCGCACGGGUGCGUAACGCGUGGGAAUCUGCCCUUGGGUGCGGAAUAACUUCUCGAAAGGGAUGCUAAUACCGCAUAAUGUCGUAAGACCAAAGAUUUAUCGCCCAAGGAUGAGCCCGCGUAAGAUUAGCUAGUUGGUGGGGUAAAAGCCUACCAAGGCGACGAUCUUUAGCUGGUCUGAGAGGAUGAUCAGCCACACUGGGACUGAGACACGGCCCAGACUCCUACGGGAGGCAGCAGUGGGGAAUAUUGGACAAUGGGCGAAAGCCCUGAUCCAGCAAUGCCGCGUGAGUGAUGAAGGCCCUAGGGUUGUAAAGCUCUUUACCAGGGAUGAUAAUGACAGUACCUGGAGAAUAAGCUCCGGCUAACUCCGUGCCAGCAGCCGCGGUAAU
This 450-nucleotide ribosomal RNA is filed under the name uncultured bacterium. RNAcentral's name for it is "bacterial SSU rRNA". It matches the Rfam family "Bacterial small subunit ribosomal RNA", at positions 29 to 524 of the family's 1533-position model. The record is from RNAcentral.